GGCUCCUUGCAGUUGUAAACAUUCCCGACUGGAAGUUGUAAUGCAGAAAAUCUCAGCUUUCAGUCUGAUGUUUGCUGCUACUGGUGGCC
Danio rerio (zebrafish) is the source of this 89-nucleotide microRNA precursor. Ensembl annotates it as microRNA 30a. Its record names the gene mir30a. The record is from Ensembl. NCBI's taxonomy places the organism in Eukaryota, Metazoa, Chordata, Actinopteri, Cypriniformes, Danionidae.